UGUGCUGGGAGUAUCCUAAAGUACAUCUACCUUCCAAGUAGAAAGCCCACAAUGGCCAACACAAC
RNAcentral lists this transfer RNA (65 nucleotides) under Cumberlandia monodonta. RNAcentral describes it as "tRNA-Gly". The record is from RNAcentral. Lineage: Eukaryota; Metazoa; Mollusca; Bivalvia; Unionida; Margaritiferidae.